GCCGGGUGCGGUGGCGCGCGCCUGUAAUCCAAGCUACCGGGAGGCUGAGGCUGGCGGAUCGCUUGAGCUCAGGAGCUCUGAGCUGCAGUGGACCAUGCCGAUCGGGUGUCCGCACUAAGCUCGGUAUCGAUAUGGUGCUCCUGGGGGAGCCCGGGACCACCAGGUCGUCCAAGGAGGGGUGCACCGGCCCAGGUCGGGAACGGAGCAGGCCAAAGCCCCCGUGCCGCUCAGGUCGGGAACGGAGCAGGCCAAAGCCCCCGUGCCGCUCAGUAGUGGGAUCGCGCCUGUGAAUAGACGCUGCAGCGCAGCCUGAGCAAUACAGCGAGACUCAGUCUUUU
Molecule: signal recognition particle RNA, 338 nt
Filed under: Poecilia reticulata (guppy)
Lineage: Eukaryota; Metazoa; Chordata; Actinopteri; Cyprinodontiformes; Poeciliidae
Description: Metazoan signal recognition particle RNA (ENSPREG00000001674.1)
Rfam family: Metazoan signal recognition particle RNA
About the family: The signal recognition particle (SRP) is a universally conserved ribonucleoprotein. It is involved in the co-translational targeting of proteins to membranes. The eukaryotic SRP consists of a 300-nucleotide 7S RNA and six proteins: SRPs 72, 68, 54, 19, 14, and 9.
Source: Rfam by way of RNAcentral